CCUACGGGAGGCAGCAGUGGGGAAUUUUGGACAAUGGGCGCAAGCCUGAUCCAGCCAUGCCGCGUGCGGGAAGAAGGCCUUCGGGUUGUAAACCGCUUUUGUCAGGGAAGAAAUCCUUUGGGUUAAUACCUCGGAGGGAUGACGGUACCUGAAGAAUAAGCACCGGCUAACUACGUGCCAGCAGCCGCGGUAAUACGUAGGGUGCGAGCGUUAAUCGGAAUUACUGGGCGUAAAGCGUGCGCAGGCGGUUAUGCAAGACAGAUGUGAAAUCCCCGGGCUCAACCUGGGAACUGCAUUUGUGACUGCAUAGCUAGAGUACGGUAGAGGGGGAUGGAAUUCCGCGUGUAGCAGUGAAAUGCGUAGAUAUGCGGAGGAACACCGAUGGCGAAGGCAAUCCCCUGGACCUGUACUGACGCUCAUGCACGAAAGCGUGGGGAGCAAACAGGAUUAGAUACCCUGGUAGUCCACGCCCUAAACGAUGUCAACUGGUUGUUGGACGGCUUGCUGUUCAGUACGAAGCUAACGCGNGAGUGACGCGNGGAGACGCGCGAGUAGACGACGAGAGUAGAGCGNGAGAGNGCGAGACGACGACGAGGGAGGAGG
Molecule: ribosomal RNA, 603 nt
Filed under: uncultured bacterium
Lineage: Bacteria
Description: bacterial SSU rRNA
Rfam family: Bacterial small subunit ribosomal RNA (bases 1-538)
Source: RNAcentral